AACCCAUUGUUCAAGAGGACUAGACUGGGAAACACAAGCAAAAGAAUUACCAGCAGCAGAAAUAUCUGUCUGAGCAACAGUGGCUACUUGUGGAGAUGUCUGCUUACUUGCUCGAUAUUUAAGGAACUCAUUAUACUCCCCUUCAGAUACAGAAAAUCCCUGGUUACCUGUAGUAUCGUUCUGAGCAACAUAAGCAUUUUUGGGUUUUCGACUAUGUAAAGAAUAGCACACGUCACGAGUGUGACCAAG
RNAcentral lists this long non-coding RNA (249 nucleotides) under Nicotiana benthamiana. RNAcentral's name for it is "long non-coding RNA (NBEN_LNC019385)". The record is from RNAcentral. Lineage: Eukaryota; Viridiplantae; Streptophyta; Magnoliopsida; Solanales; Solanaceae.